AGAUUAAGUUAUUAAGGGCGCACGGUGGAUGCCUUGGCACUAGAAGCCGAUGAAGGACGUUACUAACGACGAUAUGCUUUGGGGAGCUGUAAGUAAGCUUUGAUCCAGAGAUUUCCGAAUGGGGAAACCCAGCAUGAGUUAUGUCAUGUUAUCGAUAUGUGAAUACAUAGCAUAUCAGAAGGCACACCCGGAGAACUGAAACAUCUUAGUACCCGGAGGAAGAGAAAGAAAAUUCGAUUCCCUUAGUAGCGGCGAGCGAAACGGGAAGAGCCCAAACCAACAAGCUUGCUUGUUGGGGUUGUAGGACACUCUAUACGGAGUUACAAAGGACGACAUUAGACGAAUCAUCUGGAAAGAUGAAUCAAAGAAGGUAAUAAUCCUGUAGUCGAAAAUGUUGUCUCUCUUGAGUGGAUCCUGAGUACGACGGAGCACGUGAAAUUCCGUCGGAAUCUGGGAGGACCAUCUCCUAAGGCUAAAUACUCUCUAGUGACCGAUAGUGAACCAGUACCGUGAGGGAAAGGUGAAAAGCACCCCGGAAGGGGAGUGAAAUAGAACCUGAAACCGUGUGCUUACAAGUAGUCAGAGCCCGUUAAUGGGUGAUGGCGUGCCUUUUGUAGAAUGAACCGGCGAGUUACGAUUUGAUGCAAGGUUAAGCAGUAAAUGUGGAGCCGUAGCGAAAGCGAGUCUGAAUAGGGCGUUUAGUAUUUGGUCGUAGACCCGAAACCAGGUGAUCUACCCUUGGUCAGGUUGAAGUUCAGGUAACACUGAAUGGAGGACCGAACCGACUUACGUUGAAAAGUGAGCGGAUGAACUGAGGGUAGCGGAGAAAUUCCAAUCGAACC
Molecule: ribosomal RNA, 842 nt
Filed under: Staphylococcus aureus
Lineage: Bacteria; Bacillati; Bacillota; Bacilli; Caryophanales; Staphylococcaceae
Description: partial 23S ribosomal RNA
Rfam family: Bacterial large subunit ribosomal RNA
Source: RNAcentral